GGGCGCGAGCGGCAGCUGUCAGGCCACCGAGGUCCAAGCCGCACUUGCUGCCCCAUUGAGGACGAGGAGGCAGCAGGAGCAGUGACGGUGACUCUAAGGAGCCGGAUUCCCGGCACGCAGAGCUGACCUGCCUGGCACCCGCGGCCCUCUCCUGUUUCCUUCCCAUUGUGUUGGCACCCUAAAAAGAAAGAAUAAAACAACAACAGGAAAAAAAGGAAAAUAUUUAAAUUGUGACAAAAACCCACUGGAUAAGCCAGCUGCAGAAUAUAUCCUGAGGUACCUGCUUUAUGGAAUUAUUCACACUAUUCACCAACAGGAAGAAUAAAGUCAAUCAAUUCAAGGAGUCUCAGAACAGGAGCACAUAGACACCAAACUUUGUGGGACAACAAAUAUAAUGAAGAGUAUGUUUGCGUCUUUCAAACAAAGCCACGUGAAGUCAAGGCCCUUAACACCCACCCCUCCCACAUACUGAGGGGAGAAUUCAGAUGCCCACUGGAGUCAGCCGAUCAGACUGCCUUUUGCACACUCCUUGCCUCCACUCCAGUUUACCGUGGAAGACCUGUCUGCUAUGGCUGAAUCUGAGAGAGAUCCUUGAGUAACGAAUUAAGGAAUGAACAAAUGUUGCUCUGGACAAAGCUGCAGCUUCCACGUCCUGCAUAACUGCACUCAGUACUGACCCUGAAGAUAGGAAAAGCAAUACAACUGGUGCUAGAAAUGUUAUGAGAAUGACUUGGAUGAGCUGAAAAAUGAAUGAUCUCCUUGAACAAGGCUUGCCUGGAAUUUCGCUUUGCUGCAGAGACAUCUGGAAAUGUGGAUUGAGGGUGGAAAUAAAAUGAAGAUGUCCUGGAAACUUCCAACUGAUCCUUGGGUCUAAUUGGUGUGGGAUAUGCAGCACAAGCGUGAGAAGCCAUGAAGUGAGAGCCCCAACAGGGGCUCAGAGUCAAAAACCUAGAUAUUAGCUCCCAAAGUCCUUCCGAAUCUGCUCCAGCUCCCCACAUCACUCCUAGCUGCCCUUGGCCCUCUCCACCUUUCCCCUCCCGAUUCCUUGGAAAAUAAGCGUUCCUCCCCCACCCCCACCCCCAGCUCUACGAACACAAUAGAGAAGAAAAAAUUGUCUUUUAAGAUAAUUUCCUCCAAAUCCUUCUCAGUUUCAACUGCAUGAAGACAAAAUGCAGGCUGUCAAUUCGAUGAACAGAUUGUGAUUAGGCUGGGGGAGGCUAGAAUUGUAAUAAUUUUAUAGCUACAAUAAUAAAGACCCAGAAGUGGGCAAGACCUAUGCAAGUUCACAGACUAGGUUAAAGAAAAGGCCAGCGUUGAAGAUGUGGGUGAUUUCCAAGAAGGAUAAUCGACUUCGAGACAAGUCAAGAACACGAUCUGGGAAUCAGCUCCCUUGACCUAGAGGCCGGUGUCCUCCCAUGGAUGGCCUUUAAAACAACUGGCUGGCAUAUAAUAAGAGGGGCACCUGUUGGAAGACUCCGGAGAAGGAAGACGCAUCUGAAAUUUGGUGCCAUGACUCGAAUCGGGGGACCUCCCUUGGAAGAUCAAUCCCCUGUCCUCCUGCUCUUUACUCCAUGAGAAAGAUCCACCUACAACCUCUGGUCCUCAGGCCAACCAGCCCAAGGAACAUCUCACCAAUUUUAUAUCCGGUACCCACUGGAAAUUGGACUCUCCAACUCACCCGGCAGCCACUCCCAGAGCCACUGGAACUCUGGCCCAACGCUCUCUGACUGACUCCUUCCCAGAUCAUCUCAGCUUAGCGGCUGAAGAUUGAUGCUGCCCAAUCACCUCAGAAGCUUCCUGGACCAUCACAUACGCUUUGGGUAACUCUUACAGUGGAGGAAGACAGGAAUGUCAGAUCUCUGAGCCCAAGCCUGCAUAUAUACAUCCAGAUGGCCUGAAGCAAGUAAAGAAUCACAAAAGAAGUGAAAAUGGCCAGUUCCUGCCUUAACUGGUGACAUUACCUUGUGAAAUUCCUUCUCCUGGCUCAUCCUGACUCAAAAGCUCCCCCACUGAGCACCUUGUGACCCCCACCCCAGCCAGCCAGAGAACAACCCCCUUUGACUGUAAUUUUCCACUACCUACCAAAAUCCUAUAAAACAGCCCCACCCCUAUCUCCCUUAUCUGACUCUUUUCGGAUUCAGCCUGCCUGCACCCAGGUGAUUAAAAAGCUUUAUUGCUCACACAAA
Homo sapiens (human) is the source of this 2186-nucleotide long non-coding RNA. Lineage: Eukaryota; Metazoa; Chordata; Mammalia; Primates; Hominidae. The record is from Ensembl.